AGCCGGCGUUCAAACGCGACACUGGCGGCCGA
This 32-nucleotide non-coding RNA is filed under the name Geobacter sulfurreducens PCA. The record is from RNAcentral. Lineage: Bacteria; Pseudomonadati; Thermodesulfobacteriota; Desulfuromonadia; Geobacterales; Geobacteraceae.